Molecule: small nucleolar RNA, 82 nt
Filed under: Anabas testudineus (climbing perch)
Lineage: Eukaryota; Metazoa; Chordata; Actinopteri; Anabantiformes; Anabantidae
Description: Small nucleolar RNA SNORD74 (ENSATEG00000006708.2)
Rfam family: Small nucleolar RNA SNORD74
About the family: Z18 also identified as U74 (SNORD74) belongs to the C/D class of snoRNA which contain the C (UGAUGA) and D (CUGA) box motifs. Most of the members of the box C/D family function in directing site-specific 2'-O-methylation of substrate RNAs.
Source: Rfam by way of RNAcentral
CCCAUGACUGCAUGAUGAAAAAUAUGUUGGUAGGGACAUCUGAGUAAAUGUGAAAGAAUGCCAACUUUUCUGACUGCAUGGG